RNAcentral lists this ribosomal RNA (339 nucleotides) under Enterococcus faecium. Its description in RNAcentral is "partial 23S ribosomal RNA". It matches the Rfam family "Bacterial large subunit ribosomal RNA", at positions 2287 to 2567 of the family's 2925-position model. The record is from RNAcentral. Lineage: Bacteria; Bacillati; Bacillota; Bacilli; Lactobacillales; Enterococcaceae.
UGUACAUACAGUCAUAGUGAUGGACGGAGCCUUCGGGUACUGGAUGUGUAAUUGACUGCAUGACGCGAAAGGUGUUUAUGUUAGUAUUCGGCGGCAGCGUCAGAGGGGUAUAAGAGAGGGGUGUAGAGGCGGAAGGGAGGUUGACUGCGGGGCCAACACGUCGAGGAGGGACGAAAGUCGGGCUUAGUGAGCCGGUGGUGCCGCAUGGACGGGCCUUCGCUCCACGGAUAAAAGCUGCCCGGGGGAUACCGGGCUUAUCUGCCCCCAGAGUCCUCAUCGGCGGGGAGGUUUGGCACCUCGAUGUCGGCUCGUCGCAUCCUGGGGCUGUAGUCGGUCCCA